GACGAACGCUGGCGGCGUGCUUAACACAUGCAAGUCGAGCGGUAAGGCCCUUUCGGGGGGUACACGAGCGGCGAACGGGUGAGCAACACGUGGGUGACCUGCCCUCAGCUCUGGGGAUAAGCCUGGGAAACCGGGUCUAAUACUGGAUAUGACUCCAUGACGCAUGUUGUGGGGUGGAAAGCCUUGUGCGGCUGAGGAUGGGGCCCGCGGCCUAUCAGCUUGUUGGUGGGGGAUGGCCUACCAAGGCGACGACGGGUAGCCGGCCUGAGAGGGCGACCGGCCACACUGGGACUGAGACACGGCCCAGACUCCUACGGGAGGCAGCAGUGGGGAAUCUUGCGCAAUGGGCGAAAGCCUGACGCAGCGACGCCGCGUGA
RNAcentral lists this ribosomal RNA (377 nucleotides) under uncultured bacterium. Its description in RNAcentral is "bacterial SSU rRNA". It matches the Rfam family "Bacterial small subunit ribosomal RNA", at positions 28 to 404 of the family's 1533-position model. The record is from RNAcentral.